AAAUGUGAUUUCAAAUUUUUUCUUUAUUUUCGAUCUACUUGUGAUUUUUUUUAGCAUGGAAAACGAAAGGCGUGUUUGAAACAACACCGAUGAAAGCCCACAUGUCUCGAAAAUAUGGAGAUUCAGGCUAGGAUUGUUUUUAUUAUUAUUUUCAUCAGAUUUUGCUUUGUUUUUUGGUAGAAUAGCACAACAUUUUAAGAUUUUUUCUUUUAAAAAAAAGAGAAAAAAGGGAGAAGGAGUGUGUUUACCCGAUCUCCGUGGGCGUGUCCUCC
RNAcentral lists this long non-coding RNA (272 nucleotides) under Gossypium barbadense (sea-island cotton). Its description in RNAcentral is "long non-coding RNA (GBAR_LNC003483)". Lineage: Eukaryota; Viridiplantae; Streptophyta; Magnoliopsida; Malvales; Malvaceae. The record is from RNAcentral.